Molecule: ribosomal RNA, 273 nt
Filed under: uncultured bacterium
Lineage: Bacteria
Description: partial 16S ribosomal RNA
Rfam family: Bacterial small subunit ribosomal RNA
Source: RNAcentral
AUACGUAUGUCGCAAGCGUUAUCCGGAAUUAUUGGGCGUAAAGCGAGUCUAGGCGGCUUGUUAAGUCAGAUGAGAAAAUGCGGGGCUCAACUCCGUAUUGCGUUUGAAACUGGCAGGCUAGAGUACUGGAGAGGUGGGCGGAACUACAAGUGUAGAGGUGAAAUUCGUAGAUAUUUGUAGGAAUGCCGAUAGUGAAGACAGCUCACUGGACAGAUACUGACGCUAAAGCUCGAAAGCGUGGGGAGCGAACAGGAUUAGAAACCCCGGUAGUCC